This 374-nucleotide ribosomal RNA is filed under the name uncultured Glomeromycotina. Its description in RNAcentral is "LSU rRNA". Lineage: Eukaryota; Fungi; Glomeromycota. The record is from RNAcentral.
UUGAAAGGGAAACGAUUGAAGUCAGUCGUACCAGCGGGAAAUCAACCUUUCGAGUGGGGUUUUGGAGUUUUGAAGAGUGUCAAAACCUUUGAGAUUUCAAAAUUUUCGCUCCUUUGGUGUACUUUCUCGUGGGUAGGUUAACAUCGAUUUCGAUCAUCAUAAAAGGAUCGGAGGAAUGUAGCUUCGAUCUUGUAUUGAAGUGUUAUAGCCUUUGGUAAAUGUGAUGAUUGGGAUCGAGGAUUGCAACGAAUACCCUUUUGGGCUAUCCGCCUGAUCUCUGAUACGUGGCCUUGGCAUCGAAAGCUUGCUUAUGGUAUCAAGGUAUUACGGUCAAAAGGUUAGAACGGAUUACAUUCGUUAAGGAUGUUGACGUA